This 316-nucleotide ribosomal RNA is filed under the name uncultured bacterium. RNAcentral describes it as "bacterial SSU rRNA". It matches the Rfam family "Bacterial small subunit ribosomal RNA", at positions 28 to 334 of the family's 1533-position model. The record is from RNAcentral.
GAUGAACGCUAGCGGCAGGCCUAACACAUGCAAGUCGAGGGGUAACAGAGAGAAGCUUGCUUCUUUGCUGACGACCGGCGCACGGGUGCGUAACGCGUAUACAAUCUACCUUGUACUGGAGAAUAGCCCAGAGAAAUUUGGAUUAAUACCGAAUAAUUUUUACCAUUUUGAUGGUUUAAGGAAAGGGGCUUCGGCCUCGCUUUAAGAUGAGUCUGCGGCUGAUUAGCUAGUUGGUAAGGUAAUGGCUUACCAAGGCGACGAUCAGUAGCCGGCCUGAGAGGGUGACCGGCCACAUUGGGACUGAGACACGGCCCAA